AGGGAGUCCACAAGCCACGAGCCCGCCAUGGAAAAUGCAGCGUGCGGAACUUCAACUCCCGCGAGGCUUUGCGGCGGCCGCGCAGUGAGGGACGGGCAGGCCCCGCCCUGCUGGGAGGCCGCUGGGCCUGCGGAGAGCGCUGCUGGCAGCGGUGGUAGAGACCUGCUGUUUGUGAAAGUUGUUUUGUGAAACGCAGAAUGUUUACAAAAUACACACUUGUGUUUACAAACGUGUCGGCUAAAUGACUGUGAAAAGCAGAAACAAGAGCGGCUGCCCUAGUAAAGCCGGCAAGUCUUCUCCAUUUCGAGCAGACGGCUGAUGCGCUGGGAAAAGGCGUGUGAGCUACGGAGAGCAGCUGUUGCUUACAAGGAGGCGUCUCCCUUUCUGUUUCUCGGCUUUCCUUGUUUCUUUAAGCCACGCGUCUCCCAGCUCCCUGUUGUAUCCAUUACCCUUGUGUGCAGUAAAAGCGACCAAAUAUUACACGCUGCUACCCUGACUGGCCUUGAAGAGCUAAAAGGAUAAGGAGUGUUGUGACUAAUUACAGGAAAUGUCUCCUGGGCCUCUGAAACUUGGGGAGAACUUGCAACAGGCCAACAGUCACAGGAAUAUUUGGCUGCAAAUCACCUAUAGAAAGCACCACAAAAACCAUGGAAUUUGGAGCCUUGCAGUGCCUGAGAUGAUACAUUCUGAGCAAGAAAUUGUGGCUGUCAGUAGAGGGAGUGCCUGUAACAGUGGAAAAAUAUGCUUGUCAAUUCUUGCUGUGUUUAAAUUAAUAGAGACAUGCAGGGGUCUUUAAAAAAGUACCAGGAAAAAAAAUCUGCAAUAUACUGUGAUUUAAAAGUGAUUUUCUUUCCUAUUUGUUUAUUUUAGUCAGAGCACAAGACAUUUUAAUUGAUAAAAAUUACUUGAUAUCUCUAGCCUCAGGACAUACAGGAUCUUGCAUGUCUGUUCUUAGGAUUAUAUUUAUAUAUAUUAUAUGUAAAUUCUUAUAUUCUUAGGAUUAUAUUUAUAAUUGUGGAUGUACACUUGUUGGUGAUACUUUUAAUACAUUAACUGGUUUUAGUAUAUAAAAGAGGAACAUUUAUUAAUAUUCCACAGGGUUGAAAAGUUGCCAGUCACUCUAAGCUGCUAAAUACCAUCACUUUUCAAAACUGAUGUGAUCAGAACUCUUGCUUAUUGUUCUUUUUUACAGCUUAAAACACUUGCAGUCUUGACUAAGCCAAUGUGUUCUAUCAUUCCUUCAAUACAGGUCAUGUUUCUAAACAUCCCAUUUUCCUUACUAUUCUGUGAAUAAUCUUGCUUUUCUAUUUAUUGAUGAUAAAGUAUUCCAGACAAGUCUAUAAAUACAAAACAAAAUUGAAUAAUUGCAACAUAGUCCCCUAUUUCUGCCAUGCAGGGUGUGUCUUAUUACAUGUAGCUACCUGUGUUUUUCUAUUCUGAAUUUGCAUUCUGAUUCAGAGAUCAGAGACCUCCCUAGCCUGAGGUUAUCUGUAGAUUUACAAAUACACUCUUAGUUUACCCAUCACUGGGCCUCUUCUUGAAAAAUUGAACAGAAGGAGCAGGAGCUGUCUAGAAGAAGCCGGAGUAUGGCAAUGCAAGGCUAGCAGCUCCCUCAGGGCCAGGCACCAGUAGCCACAAGGGAUCGCCCUAGAGCAGCAAACAGGGCCUGGCAGCCCAAUCCAUCCCACCAGCCCAGCCAGGGGCUGGGCAGCUGGUGGCUUUUGGGGCAGCCCAAGGUACUGUCACCUCCUCAGGGAAUUGGGACAGGCUAAGGCUGGGCCAGGAUGGCAGCCUGGGUGUCAGGGCUGGCAUAGGGCAACCCAUGGCCAGUCAGGACAGAGGCAGACCAGCCUCAGUUUGGUGGUGCUGGGGCAGGGACUGAUAGCCCUGCAGGCUGACACAGUCCUGGGUUUUGUGCAGGCUGGAAGAAGGUCUUAGUGGAGACCAGACAGGGGCAGUUAGGACCAUCAGUGCUCUCAGCUCUGACAGGCUGCACCAGGAGGGGACUGCAGGCUGUGAGCCAAGCGUGGCCACAGCACAGAGGGGGACCAUGCCAACAACCCUGCAGCAUCUCAGCAGGACUGGAUCAGUGAUACUGAUAGUCACAGCAAGGCAAGGAAUGAAAAUAGAUCCAGGGUCCAGAUAGGAGGAGCAAGAGACACCUGGAGACAAGACUACAAUGUAGGUCCAAGGUCUGUCAAGGAGAGGACUGGAGAGAAGACAAUAGACAAUACCUUCUACAUAGGUCCCCAGUAAAUACAGGAAAACCAGUCAGCAAGACAGAACUGUGGGAAUCAGGCUGUGAAUGAGUUCAAUGUUUGAAUAGCUCGGGCCUGAGCUGACCCAGAGCCCUGGUGCUACCAAAGAGGGUACAUGGUGCUGGGGUGGGCAGGUUGGCCAGGGCGGAGCCCUGACAGAGGGAAACAACUGAACCGUGGUGGCAGACUUGUUACCAGAAAAUUCCUUAAACAUGCUAAAAACUACAAUGCAAACUUUAUCUUGCUUAGAACAUAACUUUUCUGAGCAAAAACAAGUGUCCAUGGAAACACCACAUGGUUAGCAACAGUCAUUUUUCUCCCCAAACUCCAUUGAUGUUCCUGGCUUAGAAUGUGCAGCCCAAGUCUUGGAGCACAGAAGGAGGUGCAUCCAGACCUGGAGCUCUUCCCAGGCUGAAGGUACAUGUUCUGUCCUGUUUUCUUCAAGGCUAUCAGGCCUUUAAUGACAGGAAUCCCUUGUUUUUCUCAUUUGUGGUUAAAGCCCAGAAAUCAUAAGCAGUUCUUACUUAUUUUAGAAUCUGUUCCAAACAUCUUUGUGUCAGCUUUGCCAUUUUCAGUAUACAAUCUUAUAUAGUUUCCAUUUUUGAUCCCUUAGAAAUAGCUGUGAGGAUGCUUUUCUUUCCAUUAACAUUUUCUGGACUAUCACGGCUGACACAGAGCUGUUGCCAUGCCAAACCUUCUGAUGCCAGUAUCUAUAUGCACACUUCUUUUCCCUAAUAAAUGAAAAGUAAUUCAAAAUACUAUGCUCUCA
Molecule: long non-coding RNA, 3027 nt
Filed under: Cyanistes caeruleus (blue tit)
Lineage: Eukaryota; Metazoa; Chordata; Aves; Passeriformes; Paridae
Description: lncRNA (ENSCCEG00000018275.1)
Source: RNAcentral